Molecule: non-coding RNA, 137 nt
Filed under: uncultured Paenibacillus sp.
Lineage: Bacteria; Bacillati; Bacillota; Bacilli; Caryophanales; Paenibacillaceae
Description: FMN riboswitch (RFN element)
Rfam family: FMN riboswitch aptamer (RFN element)
About the family: The RFN element is a highly conserved domain that is found frequently in the 5'-untranslated regions of prokaryotic mRNAs that encode for flavin mononucleotide (FMN) biosynthesis and transport proteins.
Source: RNAcentral
AUCUUCAGGGCCAGGUGGAAUUCCUGACCGGCGGUAAGGCGCUGUUGUCCAGCCCGAGCCCGCGACUCGCCGCUGUUAAGCGGCGACUGAUUUGGUGCAAAGCCAAAGCCGACGGUAUAGUCCGGAUGGAAGAAGAU